AUACACAAAAAGAAGUGACAAAAAAAUACAGAAAAAGAAGAAAACAACCCUAAUCCUCCAACAAUGGGUAAACGGAAUUGAAUUCGUCAGAAUGGGUGAACCAAAUUCGUCUCAACAACCGUAAUCCUCCGAAUUCGUCCCCGUCGAAGAACAAUCCGCUGUGGAAGAAGAAAACCCUUCCAUCAACCCUAAUCCGUGAAGAACAACCUCAAUCACUCCGCCGUUAUUAUCCAUCGUUCUCGUGGUUACAAGAUUAUUUGAAUCCAUUUCAUGCAUAUGAUGAAGGGAAUCUUACAUGGCUGGUAAGUGAUCAUUCUGAAGCUUGCAAUACGUAGUAAUCAGUACUAUAAUGGCUAAUUACCUGCACACAAAUGUUGAAUCAGUGUUAGAUAUGUAUAAUGUAAGUAUCAAGGAGGCUGAUAUUCAUUAUAGUUUAUUUUGAAGAUUUUGAUGCUGAAAGAAGGUUAUCACAUGCAUUCAAAUUAAUAGUUAAAGUGUAGAUUUUAAUAAAUUUUGUGCUACUGUUUAGAGUACCUUUGUUCAUGUAUGAUUCAAAAGAAGAGAAGGUUUAUUUGAAGAGUUUUAUAAUUGUUCUGUGAAGUGGUAUUCAGUUAUGUGACUGUUCUGUUAUGUUUUGCUAGUUUGUGACUGUUAUUCAGUUCUAUUUCAAAAUGAUUAUGGUGUCUUGAAGGUCUUAGAAAGCUUAGUCUUCAUAAUAAUCAAAUUAGUGGUUCAAUCCCUUCAUCAUUAGGACUUUUAAUCAAUCUUAGAGGAGUUCAACUCUUCAAUAAUAGGUUAAAAGGUUCAAUCCCUCCUUCAUUAAGUUAUUGAUAUUUUAUGUAGAAAUUUUUAAAAUUACUUACUUACGGAUUAGAUUACAAGAAUGUAUAUACAUAUAUACACUAAUAAUGGGUUUAGGGUCCAAUAAUUGGAACUCUAACACUCCCCUCAAGCUGGAAUAUAUAUAGAAACAGAGAUGCAUCCUUGAGCUUCAGAAACUGUGUUUACUCUUUUACUGUCAUUAUUGAGAUUUAUCAGUCUAGUUUUUUAUGAGAUAAGAAGUAACAAGAGUAAGGUACUGUUUAAACAUAAUGAAUUUGAUAAACCUAGUUUUGAUCUCAGUCUGAUGAUAUAGAAUAUUUACCUUCUUUUGAUCAUUGUUUAUUAUUUACUAAAAUGAAUGAUAUGUUAUAAAGAAUCCACAUAAUUUUUUGAAACUAUGUCAUGUUGCAAGAAAUUAGGAUUUUGAUGUUUUGAAGUUUUGAUUAUAUGAAUGUGAAUGAGUUAGAAAAGAGAAGUAUAACAUGUUUCAUACUUUCAUCUGUUAAUACUUAAUACUAGCCUGUGUCAUUUAAUACAAAGAUCAAACUUAUGGAUAUUAUGAGGCUAUACAAACUUACUAGAUAGGAAGAAGAAUAAGAUAGUAUUUUGACAAAUUCUGCUGACAACGUUCUAACAAUCUUGAUGUGAAAUCUUCUUCCGUCAGGUUCUCUUACUUUUAUCGUGCCUCAAUGGAUUAUAUAGUAUAAUGUGGGAAGCAGCCUGACUUACUGCAUCUUCUUCCGUCAGGCCUUGCCGUGUGUUUUGUCUUUGGAAAAGGAUGCAGUUUUUUAAUACAGAGUGUUGUUUUCUCUUCUUGAAUGGAUGGCAAUUUACUUAAGGAUGGACUUCCAUCUUAUGCCCUUUGGCUUUUCAUUUACGAUGUAGUUUAUUUAUCCUAUUGUUUUAGAUCAAUUUUUAGAGCAAGUACUGAUGCGGUUUUGAUAGGUGCUUAGGACUAUUUUGGUGGGUUAUAUAUUAGUGGGUUAUAUUUUGAUAGGUGCUUAGGACUAUUUUGAUGGGUUAUAUAUUUUGUGGGAUAUUUUGGUGGAUUAUUUAUUAGUGGAUUAUAUUUUCAUGGAUGUAGACCUUUUUUGUUGACAUUAUAUAUGGUUAUAUGGUAUAAAUAGAAGGUCCAGUAAAAAACUAUUUAAUUUAU
This is a long non-coding RNA of Trifolium pratense (red clover), 1978 nucleotides long. RefSeq lists it as uncharacterized. The transcript has 3 exons. NCBI's taxonomy places the organism in Eukaryota, Viridiplantae, Streptophyta, Magnoliopsida, Fabales, Fabaceae. The record is from RefSeq and is a predicted model, not a curated record.